ACUAUAACAGAAGGACAUAAUCGGCCCUGGAUGUUUGCAGAACUUUACAGCCAGUCUCCAUCUCCAGGGAGCUCACUUCCUUCAGCUUUCUGAGUCACAAAGUCCACUAUCAUCAUGUCUGACACAGAAGACGUGUAAGUAUCUUUCACCUCACAAUUUUGGAUUAUAGAUACUACCAUUAUACUCUUGCAUCUUAAAAAUGUAACUAGUGUUUAAAUAUUUUACUUACAUAUUGUUUUCCUCUGAUUUUUCCCCAGUGAGCAGCAGGGUGAGUACUGCUACUUUUUACAUAUAAUAAUUUAAAUUUGUUUUUAAUUAUUUGCUAAAAAAUUAAUGCCAGUAAAUUUAGUUUAAAUGUUU
This 360-nucleotide long non-coding RNA is filed under the name Astyanax mexicanus (Mexican tetra). RNAcentral's name for it is "lncRNA (ENSAMXG00005011366.1)". Lineage: Eukaryota; Metazoa; Chordata; Actinopteri; Characiformes; Acestrorhamphidae. The record is from RNAcentral.